GGGCCCGCACAAGCGGUGGAGUAUGUGGUUUAAUUCGACGCAACGCGCAGAACCUUACCCGGCCUUGACAUCCUUGGAAUCCUUCCGAAAAAGAAGGAGUGUCCCCCUCACAGGGAAGCCAAGUGACAGGUGCUGCAUGGCUGUCGUCAGCUCGUGUCGUGAGAUGUUCGGUUAAGUCCGGCAACGAGCGCAACCCCUGUCGUUAGUUGCCAUCAAUUCGGUUGGGCACUUUAACGAGACUCCCGGUGUUAAGCCGGCGGAAGAUGGGGAUGACGUCAAGUCCUCAUGGCCCUUAUGGUCGGGGCUACACACGUACUACAAUGGCGACUACAGAGGGUAGCAAGACCGCAAGGUGGAG
RNAcentral lists this ribosomal RNA (358 nucleotides) under uncultured bacterium. Its description in RNAcentral is "bacterial SSU rRNA". It matches the Rfam family "Bacterial small subunit ribosomal RNA", at positions 917 to 1267 of the family's 1533-position model. The record is from RNAcentral.